This 434-nucleotide ribosomal RNA is filed under the name uncultured Lachnospiraceae bacterium. RNAcentral describes it as "partial 16S ribosomal RNA". It matches the Rfam family "Bacterial small subunit ribosomal RNA", at positions 341 to 792 of the family's 1533-position model. The record is from RNAcentral. Lineage: Bacteria; Bacillati; Bacillota; Clostridia; Lachnospirales; Lachnospiraceae.
ACGGAAGGCAGCAGUGGGGAAUAUUGGACAAUGGGGGAAACCCUGAUCUAGCGACGCCGCGUGAGUGAAGAAGUAUUUCGGUAUGUAAAGCUCUAUCAGCAAGGAAGAAAAUGACGGUACUUGACUAAGAAGCCCCGGCUAACUACGUGCCAGCAGCCGCGGUAAUACGUAGGGGGCAAGCGUUAUCCGGAUUUACUGAGUGUAAAGGGAGCGUAGACGGCAAUGUAAGUCUGAAGUGAAAGCCCCGGGCUCAACCCGGGAACUGCUUUGGAAACUGUAUAGCUAGAGUGCAGGAGAGGUAAGUGGAAUUCCUAGUGUAGCGGUGAAAUGCGUAGAUAUUAGGAGGAACACCAGUGGCGAAGGCGGCUUACUGGACUGUAACUGACGUUGAGGCUCGAAAGCGUGGGGAGCAAACAGGAUUAGAUACCCUGGUA